GGAAUGGGAAUAAAUGCUGGAUCCCUUUCAAAUAUGAAAAAUUGCCAACCUUCUGUUUUGGAUGUGGCAAACUGGGGCAUAGUCUUCAGGAUUGUACAAGCAUUACACCUGUGGAGAAAAUUAGAAUCAGAGAAGAUCCACCUUACUCUUUGGCAUUAAAAGCAGAAUUAAAUUUGAUUGGGAAGGAGAGUCUGGAGUUUAAUGCUUUAUCAAAAAAAUUACAAGUGCAAUGUUCGUAUACAGGAGUUGUAAACAGUGAACAAAGGAGCGAUAUGAUGGAAGGAGUACAGGAGGAUACUUGGCUGGAAACUUUAGAAGCGGGAUUACAGAUACAACAGAAUGAAGAAACAAAGGGAAAAACCACAAAAAAUAGAAACACAAAUAUAUUGAAGCAGGGCAGGGAAGCUAGGUGGAAAAGAGUUGAAAAAAUAGAAGUGAUGAGACAGUAUGAGGCAGAGAGUAAGCUGCAAAAACGAAAAUGGGAAGAGUUGGUACAGGAAGAUUACGGUGUAAAUGGGGAACAGGAAGGAGCAAUUAAAAGGAUGAAAUUUGGCGAUCAAGACCUAACACAAGAGACGGACAUCAGUUUUCCAGUUGAAUCACCCAACCAGAAUGAAUCGGCGACUGCCAAAAGGCAAGCCGACCGGUCGCAAUGAAAAUCAUAUGCUGGAAUGUCCGUGGAUUGGGGAGUCCACGGGCAGUGAGAAGGCUUCGGUUUUUACUGAAGCAAAAUAAUCCUCAAUUGGUCUUCCUCAUGGAGACUAAGGUUAGUGGAAAACGAAUGGAGAAAAUUAGGAGGAGGUGUGGGUUUAUAAAUGGGAUAGAUGUAGAUGCAACAGGUUCGCGGGGAGGCAUUUGCCUAGCAUGGAAAGAGGCGGUUCAAGUUGAGCUCAGAACUUUCUCAACCAAUCAUAUUGAUGUGCUGAUUGAAGAAGAAGUUAGUAAAGAGUUGAGAUUCACCGGCUUUUAUGGAUCCCCUUACGCACAGAAUAAAAAUGCUUCAUGGGAUUUAUUAAGAUAUUUAGGACAGGAACAAGAGUAUCCUUGGUUGGUAAAUGGAGAUUUCAAUGAAAUUGCUUAUUCCUUUGAAAAAAUGGGUGGUCAACCGAGGGAGGAAAAAAGGAUGGAAGUGUUCCGUGAGGUUUUAAGAGAAUGUUCUCUUAUUGAUGUGGGAUACUCGGGUAAAUGGUAUACAUGGGAAAUGGGAAAUUUACCGGAAACAAAUAUUAGAGAAAGACUUGACAGGAGUGUAGCAAAUGAAAAAUGGAUGGAAAUUUUUCCAACAGGCAAUGUACACCACUUAACGUCUUCUUUUUCGGAUCAUUGUCCUCUUUUAAUUAGUACCAGCACUGAAAGUAAUAUGAAGAGAAUCCCAGUUUUUAAAUUUGAAGCAUGGUGGACUACAGAGAAAACGAUUGAAGAGGAGAUAAAGAGUUCAUGGGAAUCAUCAAAUGGAUCCAUUUUUGAAAAGUUAGAAAGAUUACAGACCAAUCUGACAAGAUGGGCUAAUUCAAUAAAGAAAAAAUAAAAGGGAUUGACCGGUAAACUUACAAAAGAGCUUGAACGAUUAUUAGAGGAUGAACGAAAUGAUGAUACGAUGGCACAGAUUAUUGAUAAGAGAAUACAUCUGAAUAUGGAGAUUGACAGAGAAGAAAUGUACUGGGAGCAAAGAGCACGGGCUAACUGGCUUAAGCUGGGGGAUAAAAAUACGGCUUUCUUCCACAAAUAUGCCUCUAUGCGAAAACGAAUCAACACAAUUAGUAGGUUGGAUAUAGAUGAUGGGGAGGGGAUCUAUGAGGAAUCAGAAAUAAAUACAAGUGUAACAAAGUAUUUCCAGGAACUCUUUUCAACUAAUGGAAUAGGAGACCUAUCUCAUCUCCUCUCAGGUAUAAACAACAACAUUUCUUCAGAUAUUAAUAUGGCCCUUUUAGAAAAGUUUUCGGAAGAAGAGAUUUUCAGUGCAGUUAAAAGUAUGGGACCUACUAAAGCACCUGGUUAUGAUGGUUUUCCGGCAUUAUUUUUUCAAAAAUACUGGGAUAUUGUGGGUAAAGAUGUUGGGAAGUUUUGUUUGGAGUUUUUGAACAAUGGAAAGGAUAUUGAAGAUCUAAAUUUAACAGAGAUUAUUCUCAUUCCGAAGAAUUCCAAUCCUACCACUCUCGCCAAUUUCAGACCCAUUAGCCUAUGCACUGUAGUAUAUAAAAUCAUUGCCAAAUCUAUUGCCAAUCGUGUGCAGACAGUUAUUGGAAGGUGUAUUGAUAGUGCUCAAAGUGCUUUUGUUCCUGGGUGGCUUAUUUCGGACAAUAUCUUAAUAGCCUGUGAAGUUUUACAUACACUUCGUCAAAAGCGUAACGGUAAAAAAGGUCUCAUAGCGUUAAAGCUGGAUAUGAGUAAAGCUUAUGAUAGAGUUGAAUGGGGUUUUUUGAAGGCAGUUAUGGUCAGUAUGGGUUUUGCAGAGGAAUGGGUAUCACUAAUUAUGCGAUGUAUCUCUAUAGUAUCUUAUGUUGUUUCCAUAAAUGGUAAAAGAGGCAGAGUUUUUAAACCUACUAGAGGACUCCGACAAGGUGAUCCGCUUAGUCCUUUCCUUUUUCUUAUUUGCAGCGAAAGACUUUCCUCUUUGAUCAGGAUCGCAACACGGGAAGGACUGAUAAAUGGAGUAAAGGCCAGCAGAAGAGGUCCGACAAGUUCACAUUUAUUAUUUGCAGACGACUGCAUGUUGUUUGGUGAAGCGACUAAAGACAUGAUAAGAAUCUUAAAGGAGAUUUUGACGGAAUAUGAGAUUAGUUCUGGUCAAUGUGUGAAUUUUAACAAGUCCUCAAUUUUUUUCAGCUCGAAUACAAAAGAAGCAGAUAAAAUUAGCAUCUCGGCUGAAUUGGGGAUAAGAUGCUCGACUAAUAUAGAAAAGUAUCUUGGACUGCCAAGCAUGGUAGGAAGAAAGAAGAAGGAAGCCUUUCAGAAUCUAAAGGAUAAAAUUAAACAGAAGAUUGAUAAUUGGAGUACACGUUUCUUAUCUCAAGGAGGUAAAGAAUUUUUCAUUAAAAUAGUACUUCAAGCAAUCCCUAUUUAUGCGAUGACAUGUUUUUUGCUACCAAAAUCUUUCUGUGAGGAGAUAGAAAAACUGUUUGCCAGAUUCUGGUGGCAGAAAGGAAAAGGCAAAAAAGGGAUACAUUGGUGCCGAUGGGAAUAUAUGUGUAAGCCUAAAGAGAAGGGAGGUAUGGGUUUCCGUAAUAUGGCGCAAUUCAAUAUCUCAUUAUUGGCUAAACAAGGAUGGCAGAUUAUGAAUAAUCAGGGUUCUCUUGUUGCGCAAGUUUUUAAAGCCAAAUACUUCCCAGAAAAUGAUUUUUUAAACUCCCAGCUAGGGAACUCUUGUUCUUAUGUGUGGAAAAGUGUUUGGGCAGCAAAAGCCUUAUUGAUAACAGGGCACUGUUGGAAGGUGGGAACGGAUUCUAGUAUAUCCAUUACUGAUGCUUGGAUUCCAGAUUCUGAUAAUUUCAAAUUGUCGUCAGGAGUUAAUUUUAUGCGCGUUUCUAAAGUAAAGGAGUUAAUCGACAGUAAUAGUAGAAGCUGGAAUAGAGAGUUGAUUAACAAUACCUUCACUGAAGCUGAUGCUGAAAGAAUCCUCAGGAUCCCGCUGGCACGAUCACCGCAUGAAGAUUUUCUUAUUUGGGGAGGGGAGAAGUCGGGUGAAUUCACGGUUAGAAGUGCCUAUCAACUAUUACAGAGAUUAAUUGAUAAUCCUAGAGCUUAUGCUUUACAAAACCUCUACAGAAAAUUUUACAAAAC
This 3780-nucleotide long non-coding RNA is filed under the name Gossypium barbadense (sea-island cotton). RNAcentral describes it as "long non-coding RNA (GBAR_LNC017132)". The record is from RNAcentral. Lineage: Eukaryota; Viridiplantae; Streptophyta; Magnoliopsida; Malvales; Malvaceae.